This is a non-coding RNA of Pelobates cultripes (western spadefoot toad), 210 nucleotides long. Lineage: Eukaryota; Metazoa; Chordata; Amphibia; Anura; Pelobatidae. The record is from the annotation of a GenBank genome assembly.
GUUUAGGGCUGGGGUUCUUUAGUCUUGGGGCAGCACCGGGAUAUGAUACAGUCUGAGUUUUGGACAUUGGUGGAGUUACACUUUCAGGCAGCAGGUUGUGUUUGUGAAUUAUAUCCUUAAAAGGACACUGUAGGGCGGCACUACAACCAUUAAUUGAAUUUUAGUGCCUGGAGUCGCCUGGCACCUUCCCUCCAUUCAGUAUUAGACCAG